GGGGGUGAAAGGGUUCGACUUAAAGCAACUGGGUAAGGGCAGCAUGCCGCGGAUGCAAGGUAGGCCGCGUUAACAAUCCUUGCACAAUACAAACGCAAACACACCAGUGUUCAGUCGUGCACCAAUGGCAACAUUGAUGCCGGCUGGCGUUCCAGCCUUAGGGUUUAAUUAAACCCUAAGCCACUUUUCGUCUUUCCUACGUGGCGAAAAAGUGCACUAGUAGGAUAGCUUAGGAAAAUUUGCCUUUGGGGCCUGAGCGAAAUUCAAAAAGGCUGCGUCUUGCGCAAUCUUGUUCACUGGAGUGCGCAAGAUUAAGUUUAAAAAAUGAACUAAGCAUGUAGCGGCUUUUAUCUGGUUAUUUAAGGACGGCGGUCCAAUUCCGCCCACCUCCACCA
This 395-nucleotide transfer-messenger RNA is filed under the name Candidatus Omnitrophota. Its description in RNAcentral is "VGKM01 sp016867005 Standard tmRNA". It matches the Rfam family "transfer-messenger RNA". From Rfam's summary of the family: Bacterial tmRNA, also known as 10Sa RNA or SsrA, is named for its dual tRNA and mRNA-like properties. Lineage: Bacteria; Pseudomonadati. The record is from RNAcentral. RNAcentral also lists the same sequence under 1 other name.